RNAcentral lists this ribosomal RNA (254 nucleotides) under uncultured bacterium. RNAcentral describes it as "partial 16S ribosomal RNA". It matches the Rfam family "Bacterial small subunit ribosomal RNA", at positions 524 to 776 of the family's 1533-position model. The record is from RNAcentral.
GACGUAGGGCGCGAGCGUUGUUCGGAUUUACUGGGCGUAAAGGGCGCGUAGGCGGCCACCGCAAGUCGACUGUGAAAUCUCCGGGCUUAACCCGGAAAGGUCAGCCGAUACUGCGGGGCUAGAGUGCAGAAGGGGCAACUGGAAUUCUCGGUGUAGCGGUGAAAUGCGUAGAUAUCGAGAGGAACACCGGUGGCGAAGGCGGGUCUCUGGGCCGAUACUGACGCUGAGGAGCGAAAGCGUGGGGAGCGAACAGG